GCUGCGCACUUCGGUCUUUUACGUCGGCCUUCGCGAGCGUCUGGGCGGGUGGUAGGUGAGUGGGUAUUGCGGGCUAGUAUCCGAGCAAAAGAUGGUGGCGCAGGCCGAGUUAAGAGCUUUAAUCCUGUGAAGACAUCUUAGUGAAGAGUUUAGAGUGCUGAGAGUUGAAAGCUUGCACGUGGGAAACGUGCGGCCGGACUGCCACAUGUACUGAGGUUGAGUCGUGACGGCCACAGGCUCCGAGUUUUGGCGUGAGGAACCGCUGAUCGGCCACGGGCGCCGAACUUGCUGGCCUCCGGCAUGUGCCUGAGCGGCGGCGGAAAAACCACCUUAAUUGGGGCGGAGGGUUAGUUUUAACAGCAAAGGGCCUUUACUAAAAUGGCGAAGGCCUUCCGUCGGCGUUGUUUUAAAAUGGGAAGCCUCGACCCUGUAUUGAAACUGAGCUGUUCGAAGGCGGCGUUGUGUGCAAUUCGGAUUAAUGAAGGGGAAGGGUUUUGUGUGGAAAAACGCCUUGGAGUGUGACAUUUCUGCGAGAAUGCUUAAAUACCGAUUUCCCGCAGGAACAAUGGCGCUGUCUUCAGUGGCACAGUGGAGCAGCUCUGAAGAUGCAAAGAUACACGAAAAAACUUCCAGAACAUCUGGGAGAAUAUUUAAUGGAAAAUCGCUUGGUUAAAACCUGACACUUUUAACAGUGAACAGCGUUCUGAGUGUGGACGAGUAGCCAGUGAAGAUAAUGAAUGUCGAAUGUGACUGACUAGCAGCUUCAUUUUGAAUGAGGGUCGCUGUCUGCCCAUUGAUAGAGGCCAGAUUGUCUUGGAAGUUCCAAAGUUGCAACGAUUUCUUUAGUUGAAUCCAUGGACAUGAAACCCACAGAUAUAGAGGGUUGGCCCGGUGCAGUGGCUCACGCCUGUAAUCCCAGCACUUUGGGAGGCCAAGGCGGGUGGAUCACCUGAGGUCAGAAGCUUGAGACCAGCCUGGCCAACAUGGGUACUGCUUUCUCUUGCUGCAGCUUGCUUCCUCCCUCAGGUAUGAAGUUAAGGUAACAUGAAGGAGGAUAUUGAAUGUUCCUAACACAAAGAAAUGAUAAAUGUUUGAGAUGGUGGAUGUACUAAUUGCCCUGAUCUGAUGACUAUACAUUAUAUAUAUUGAAACAUCAGUAUGUACCCCAUGAAUAUGUACAAUUAUAUGUCAACUUAAACACAUUUAAAAGUAAAAAAAAAAAAAUCCAAAA
RNAcentral lists this long non-coding RNA (1231 nucleotides) under Homo sapiens (human). RNAcentral describes it as "small nucleolar RNA host gene 5". The record is from RNAcentral. Lineage: Eukaryota; Metazoa; Chordata; Mammalia; Primates; Hominidae.